AUGGCCGCGCUCGUCGGCGACGUCGCCUACUGGCUGGCGGAGCACCCGGACAUCGUCGGCUUCCGCUGGAGCCCCUCGGGCCUCUGGUUCUCCACCUGGGCCUUCCUCCUCGGCUUCCUCGCCACCUACGUGUCCCUCUGCCUCGCCGCCGACGCGCUCCUCCGCCGCCGGAAGCCGCUCCCUCUCGGGCCCCUCCCCCCCGCGCACGCGCUCCUCAUGGCCGCCGUCUCCGCCACCAUCUUCGCCGGCACGCUCCUGUCGGCGGUGGCGGAGAUUCGGGACACGCGGUGGUCGUGGCGGGGCCGGAGCCGGACGACCCCCUUCCGGUGGCUCCUCUGCUUCCCGCCGGGGACCCGCUCGUCGGGCCGCGUCUUCUUCUGGUCCUACGCCUACUACCUCUCCCGGUACCUCCACGCGGCGCGGGGCGUGUUCGCGGUGCUCAGGCGCCGGCGAGGGGCGGCCGCCCGGGUGUUCGCGCACGCGGCGUCCGUGGCCAUGGCGUUCCUCUGGCUCGAGUUCUCGCAGUCGUUCCAGGUGCUGGCCAUCCUCGCCUCCACGCUCGCCCACGCCGUCGCCUUCGGGUUCCGCUUCUGGGUGGACAGCGCGGGGCUCCCGGCGGCGCGCGCCGCCCGGAGCGGGUCGGCGCCCGUGGCGCUGGGGUGCCAGCUCGGGCUGCUGGGGUGCAACCUGGUGUGCCACGCGGGGGUGGUGUGGAUGCACUUCGGGGGCGCGAUGGCCGGCGGGUGCAGCGGCAUCGGGGCCUGGGUGGUCAACACGCUGCUCAACGCGGCGCUGCUCUGGGUGUUCCUCCACUGCUACGGCACCCGCGGCGUCUGCGACGACGACGGGGGCGCCGCCGCCGGCACGGCGAAGAAGAAGAAGAAGAAGAGGGAGAUGUGA
This 900-nucleotide ribosomal RNA is filed under the name Triticum aestivum (bread wheat). RNAcentral describes it as "partial small subunit ribosomal RNA". The record is from RNAcentral. Lineage: Eukaryota; Viridiplantae; Streptophyta; Magnoliopsida; Poales; Poaceae.